This is a long non-coding RNA of Hemicordylus capensis (graceful crag lizard), 748 nucleotides long. RefSeq lists it as uncharacterized. The transcript is spliced from 2 exons. The record is from RefSeq and is a predicted model, not a curated record. NCBI's taxonomy places the organism in Eukaryota, Metazoa, Chordata, Lepidosauria, Squamata, Cordylidae.
AGGUGCUCCCUGGCUCUGCCCCCUCCCAGUAGGGGUGUGCAUGGAACUGUUUGUGGCAGUUCGAUUUGAAUUCAAACAGAACUGAAUUCAAACGGAACCCCUGGUCCACGAACUGAUCUGUUAGAACUGGCUGCCGGUUCAGUUCAUGCUGUCGAACCAGUGCUGACACCGCACAGGGCUCCUUGGGAUGUGCGCUGCCCCAGCAGGAAGCUACAUGGGGUGGCAGAGAGCAGACAUGGGUAGUGACAACAAGGCCUUGAAUUUCUAACUGCACAGCAACAAUCCUGAAAGCCAUGAACAUAGGGAGUCACGUGGUCAAGUAUGAAAAAGCAUAGAGGUCACAGAGGGAAGACAGAGUGAGACCAGCUAUGAUAAAGAAAAGGAACAUUCAGCAGAAGAUUUCCUUUGGCUUGCUUAAAUCCAAACAUUAUACUACUUACCCCUGGAUGUUUAGACUGCCACAUCAUGUGCCCACCCUUGGCUAAUUAGAGAUUGGGGAAGCAAGUGCCAAUGUGUCUUAUCUCUCUGCACAUCCUUCCUCCACCCUGCCUUCCUCCAGUGCUGGUAUACAGGCUCCACCCUACCUUGGAACGCCACAGACUCCAGUUCAUGUCCUGCACAUCCACGAAAUGUGCUCACCAACACCUACAAUCAGCUUAUUUGUUUUUCAUAUUUGUAAACCACCUAAUAUUUACAUUCUAGGUGGUGUGCAUAAAAUUAUUUAAAAUACAACAGAAACUAAAAGAUA